The submitters of this non-coding RNA (49 nucleotides) gave its source as unclassified sequences. The record is from Rfam.
CGGUUGGGAGGGCUGCUUCGGCGGUCCGUUGGGUUCGCCCACCCGGCUG